CUGGAAAAAGAAAGUGCUGCAGGAUUCAGGGCACCAGAAAAUGCAUAAAUCCCAUCAAGUGUAAGUUCAUUAGAAACCAAACCCAACAAGUAGAUGGAGCUCAUUAUUAGACAGGAUUUGGCCCCUGGUGAAGGAAUCUGACAGCUGUAUGGUUACAUGACCAGCUCCAACUGAUCUGCCAAAAUCUGCUUUACCACAAACACAUCUCAGAGAGAAGCCCGGAACAUGCCCACCACCACGCCGGACCGAUUGCCCAUCCGAUCUGCCACCUGGAAUAUGUAAAGUGGACAGUGAUUGUCCAGGAAUAGAGAAAUGCUGUGUCAUUUGUAGCUCACAGUGCAUCAAUGUGUAAUAAGUGAUGUGAGGCGGCCGGAUGCAUCUCCGUCCCUCACAGCGGAGGACACAUCGCCGAUCAGCCUCAGUAAUUCUCUCUUCUCGCGGCUUUUCCUUCUCUAGUUGCAGAUAACCCUGGGAGGUGACAGCGGUGAAGACACUCAGGGCCGGAUCCGCUGCCCCAGGUGCUCAGUCUGAAUACACCCCCAUUAUAGCCAGAUUCCUCCUCCUUCUCAGCGAUCAUAGUGACAUUUAUCAAUGUAAUAAAGCAGAAGAUGAAAAAUGA
Long non-coding RNA from Bufo gargarizans (Asiatic toad), 619 nucleotides. RefSeq lists it as uncharacterized. The transcript is spliced from 2 exons. NCBI's taxonomy places the organism in Eukaryota, Metazoa, Chordata, Amphibia, Anura, Bufonidae. The record is from RefSeq and is a predicted model, not a curated record.